Molecule: ribosomal RNA, 705 nt
Filed under: Klebsiella variicola
Lineage: Bacteria; Pseudomonadati; Pseudomonadota; Gammaproteobacteria; Enterobacterales; Enterobacteriaceae
Description: bacterial SSU rRNA
Rfam family: Bacterial small subunit ribosomal RNA
Source: RNAcentral
UGGAGGUAGAUGUCGAUUGGAGGUUGUGCCCUUGAGGCGUGGCUUCCGGAGCUAACGCGUUAAAUCGACCGCCUGGGGAGUACGGCCGCAAGGUUAAAACUCAAAUGAAUUGACGGGGGCCCGCACAAGCGGUGGAGCAUGUGGUUUAAUUCGAUGCAACGCGAAGAACCUUACCUGGUCUUGACAUCCACAGAACUUUCCAGAGAUGGUUUGGUGCCUUCGGGAACUGUGAGACAGGUGCUGCAUGGCUGUCGUCAGCUCGUGUUGUGAAAUGUUGGGUUAAGUCCCGCAACGAGCGCAACCCUUAUCCUUUGUUGCCAGCGGUUAGGCCGGGAACUCAAAGGAGACUGCCAGUGAUAAACUGGAGGAAGGUGGGGAUGACGUCAAGUCAUCAUGGCCCUUACGACCAGGGCUACACACGUGCUACAAUGGCAUAUACAAAGAGAAGCGACCUCGCGAGAGCAAGCGGACCUCAUAAAGUAUGUCGUAGUCCGGAUUGGAGUCUGCAACUCGACUCCAUGAAGUCGGAAUCGCUAGUAAUCGUAGAUCAGAAUGCUACGGUGAAUACGUUCCCGGGCCUUGUACACACCGCCCGUCACACCAUGGGAGUGGGUUGCAAAAGAAGUAGGUAGCUUAACCUUCGGGAGGGCGCUUACCACUUUGUGAUUCAUGACUGGGGUGAAGUCGUACACAGGGGGAACCCAA